GUAGCUCAGUUGGUAGAGCAUGAGACUCAUAAUCCUAGGGUUGUGGGUUUGAGCCUCACAUUGAGCCA
This is a non-coding RNA of Podarcis lilfordi (Lilford's wall lizard), 68 nucleotides long. The record is from the annotation of a GenBank genome assembly. Lineage: Eukaryota; Metazoa; Chordata; Lepidosauria; Squamata; Lacertidae.